This 76-nucleotide transfer RNA is filed under the name Methanomassiliicoccales archaeon. RNAcentral's name for it is "tRNA-Asn". It matches the Rfam family "tRNA". From Rfam's summary of the family: Transfer RNA (tRNA) molecules are approximately 80 nucleotides in length. Their secondary structure includes four short double-helical elements and three loops (D, anti-codon, and T loops). Lineage: Archaea; Methanobacteriati; Thermoplasmatota; Thermoplasmata; Methanomassiliicoccales. The record is from RNAcentral. RNAcentral also lists the same sequence under 1 other name.
GCCGUCGUAGCUCAGUCGGUAGAGCGUGUGACUGUUAAUCACAAGGUCAACGGUUCGAUCCCGUUCGACGGCGCCA